This 497-nucleotide ribosomal RNA is filed under the name uncultured bacterium. RNAcentral describes it as "partial 16S ribosomal RNA". It matches the Rfam family "Bacterial small subunit ribosomal RNA", at positions 28 to 507 of the family's 1533-position model. The record is from RNAcentral.
GAUGAACGCUGGCGGCGUGCCUAAUACAUGCAAGUCGAGCGAACGGACGAGAAGCUUGCUUUUCUGAUGUUAGCGGCGGACGGGUGAGUAACACGUGGAUAACCUACCUAUAAGACUGGGAUAACUUCGGGAAACCGGAGCUAAUACCGGAUAAUAUUUUGAACCGCAUGGUUCAUAGGUGAAAGACGGUCUUGCUGUCACUUAUAGAUGGAUCCGCGCUGCAUUAGCUAGUUGGUAAGGUAACGGCUUACCAAGGCAACGAUGCAUAGCCGACCUGAGAGGGUGAUCGGCCACACUGGAACUGAGACACGGUCCAGACUCCUACGGGAGGCAGCAGUAGGGAAUCUUCCGCAAUGGGCGAAAGCCUGACGGAGCAACGCCGCGUGAGUGAUGAAGGUCUUCGGAUCGUAAAACUCUGUUAUUAGGGAAGAACAUAUGUGUAAGUAACUGUGCACAUCUUGACGGUACCUAAUCAGAAAGCCACGGCUAACUACGUG